Molecule: ribosomal RNA, 253 nt
Filed under: uncultured bacterium
Lineage: Bacteria
Description: partial 16S ribosomal RNA
Rfam family: Bacterial small subunit ribosomal RNA
Source: RNAcentral
UACGGAGGAUCCAAGCGUUGUCCGGAAUUAUUGGGCGUAAAGAGCGCGUAGGCGGCUCGUUGCGUCGGCUGUGAAAACCCGCAGCUCAACUGUGGGCUUGCAGCUGAUACGGGCGGGCUGGGAUUCGGUAGGGGAGACUGGAAUUCCUGGUGUAGCGGUGAAAUGCGCAGAUAUCAGGAGGAACACCGGUGGCGAAGGCGGGUCUCUGGGCCGAUAUCGACGCUGAGGCGCGAAAGCCAGGGGAGCAAACGGG